Molecule: long non-coding RNA, 1133 nt
Organism: Columba livia (rock pigeon)
Lineage: Eukaryota; Metazoa; Chordata; Aves; Columbiformes; Columbidae
Exons: 5
Source: RefSeq, a predicted model, not a curated record
CUCCCCUUUCCUAGGGGAUUGUGGGAAGGGGUGGGCGAGGCUCAGGGUAUUUGAGUCCCAGUCCCCUGGCAGGGAGCUCAUUCGGCUCCAGGACCGCUUCGGUGAUGGUUCUCUGUCGCUCCUUCGGCAGCCGGCAGGUUUUGAGCCGUUUAAGCUACGUGGGCAGCCGUCUUAGGAGAAGCCGAGGAGUCCCUUUGAGGUGGUGACGGGGAAAGUGACAACUGCAGGAAGAUCACCGUUAGCCCACGUCGUGUUUUCCUCUGUUGAAGAUGGAUUUGGUCUCUCAGCCCUCUAAAAAUGCAGAGGGACAACUUGGCACGAAAGAGCGACGGAGGAGGCGAGCCGAGCGCCGUAAGCAAGCAGGUGCGAAGCAAAGUGGAAAGCUGGGUAUCGGCAGCGCAGCUCCUCUGGCAAGAUGUUGAAGAGGAACCCAGCGAUGCAGGAAGAUCCCUGUUAGCGCGUGUGGCGUUUUCUUCGUCGAAGAUGGGUUAGGUCCCUCGGCCCUCUGAAAGCUAAGUGGAGGCACGGGGGCUGGGAAGGGGCUGGGAAUCGCAGGGUUGGGGUUAAGUUCUGAUAAGGGCCGUCCAGGAACAGUUCCCCUUGGGUGGGUAAAGUGUCUGGGGACCUUUACAGUGUGAUGCCAGGGUGUGGCGGGCAGGGCAGCUCCAGCCUCUGUCUGCAUUGUGUAGUUUGGGAAGCCUGUCUCGUGACUGUCCGAUGAUCCUGGGGUCUCGUUGCGCUCCAGGCGCACAGCAUGUAUCUCGGGUGCCAUCCCGGGAUCUGGAAUGCCAGUGCCAAUUGGCUUGGUGUCAAUUGGGUCCUGGAUUCUUGUAUCAUCAGCCGAAAGUGUGGGUAGUGGUUUCAUUUUUCAUGUUUCUGGUCAGUUGUGGUUUACGGUGUAGUUCUGGGCCGCAUCAUCAGCGGUUGUGCUCUGUAUGCAUCCAGUCUAUGGGACUGGCACUUUAAGAUGCUGGGAAGAAGUUCUUAGUUUUGCAGCAGCCUUGCGUGUUUGUGCCAGUGCCACCAUUUCUUAAGGGGCCGUGAUGUUGGGCUCUUAUUUUUUUCUGGGGUUGCAGUAGAGACUCCUUGCCUCACUGCUGCCUCUCUGCAGUUUCUUUUGAUUGAUGUAGUCU